Molecule: long non-coding RNA, 2151 nt
Organism: Ceratitis capitata (Mediterranean fruit fly)
Lineage: Eukaryota; Metazoa; Arthropoda; Insecta; Diptera; Tephritidae
Exons: 3
Source: RefSeq, a predicted model, not a curated record
AUUUUCUAUUGCAGUAAACACAUUUUUUCCAAUGAAAUUAUUAAUAAAUUUGUAAAUCGUUGCUGUCGCUAUUUUGUCUCCACGCGCCGUCAGAAACGCCAUUGUCAAUGCUACCGUUACGAAGCCAAAAUUGUCGGAAUCUCAAAUAUGGUUAGCAGACACACACAAAAAUUCCCAAGCUACUUGUCUGCCAUCGGAUUGAAAAACUGGCAACUAGAUCGACCGUUUCGUUUUGUGAGUAGUUUUCUAUUGGACUUGCACUCUUGCUCUCUGAGUGUACCCUCCACCAAGUGGGACGGCAUCUCAAUUUCCCAACGCAGAACUGCAAACGAAGACCAGACACGGAGAAACGCAGUGGAGAAACGUUACGAUUGACCGCAAGGCACACGGUAUGGGAAAGAUACCAAGAGAUGCAGGGGGAAGCGAACAGCAGUUGCAGACAGGAAAAGAAGAGUUGAAGUUGAAAUAGCCAAAAGAGAAAGCUUGAAAAUUCUGUGAAAUAAUUGGACGUCUUUCUAAAUUUUUCAACAUCGGUAGAAACAACGAAAGGUAACUGACGUUCAGAAAAAUACUGAAUAGGCGAUGAUCGAACAGAAGACGUUCCAUUUUCUGACUAUGAGGAAAUCCGUACAGCAAUUGUCCGCCUUAAAAAUGACAAAUUGGCCUCAGCCGAGUGACGAAUAUGGUCAGACGAAAGCAUGUCCAUUGAUUAUAACCUUACUGUUCUCUGCACAAUCCUUAUCGAGCGUGGAAGUCUAGAGCCAAGAGUCAACAAACUGAUUGACCCCUGUCAAUGUAGUUUCAGAACAAGCAAAUCUACAAUUGGCCAUAUAUUCACCGAUAUGGCUCCUCGGUAUGGUACUUCUCAGCAACACCAAAAGAUCCGUCAGAAUCGAGUUUUCAAUAUCAAGCUAGGUUUCAGUUCGGGUGACUUUUUGGCAUGGAAUCCUUCAAAUUAAUGCUGAAGCAAAUAAUAUCGGCUGAGAAAGUAAACAGAGUAGAAUCUUCAAUAAGAGUGGCCACGAUAGCCGUGCCGUCAUUUCUGUUUGCCCCAUACUGGAUAGGGAAGCUAGGCGAAUGGGUCGGUAGUAUACGAGAAUAAGACGAAAUAUCUGAUGACGUCCAACCAAUCAACAGUUAGCGCUCAGGUAUCAUCAUUAACGUCAACAACAAUUUCAGCGGACCAACGCAUAAUCACCCUCACCAACGUGUGCCACUUCGGACAGAGUAGACAAAUGGAAAGUAAAGUCUUCUUUCAAUAUAAAGGUUGAAAUGUAGACAAUCUGAAGAGUGAGGACUUGGGUAGACCAGUUGGUCCAUGUUUUUUGAAACUUUCCAAAGACGAAUACCGCAGGUGAUGAAGCGAUGAGCUGUACAAGAUAUACGACGGCAUUUACAUAGUUCAGCGAAUUAAGAGGCACUGAUUCGGUGACUAAUGUCGGCGCGGUGAGGAUCUAAUAGCCUGAUGUAACCUCGAAUAAGUCUUAGACUUAGACCAUUGGGGUCUUGUUACAAAAUUCUCUAAACUUUUACGUGCCUUUGCUAUCCUUGUUUUCCAAGCAUUCAGAGAAAGUAAUCUGAUGACACGGCGUAUUGGGUAUAAAUAGGAAUCAGCGAAUUGGUAAUGAAAUUCUGCUUUGUUGAAAAUUACAGAUUUUCAUUCUCUGGGUCUGGUAUAUGUGGUAAAUGACCAAAAAGAAGGCAUCGUUCCAGACGCGUCAGGCGGCAGUAAUCUAUCAUGAUAUUUCUUAAAGAGUACAACCACUCUAAGAAUUUGGAUUUUCUCUUUUUUGGCUCACAGAGUAUCUUUGGGUCCUAGAAAUGACAUGCUAUUGGUUUUAAACUGAAAAACAUAUUUCAAAAAGCUGAACUUUUUAAUUUGUUGCAGUCCCCCAGAGUGUGCGCUGAGUACAAUGAAAACUUUUAACUCGUUUUCUUCGAAAUCAGAUAUUUUUUGGAAUUACGUAGCCAUUUUUCGUUUAAAUGUUAAUUAAUAAUUUGGGGCGUUUUUUUAGUCGAAAAUCGAUUUUUAAAAAAAGUUUGCCGCUUUAUCAAAAAUUAGUUAAAACGGAAUCCGUACAUACUUCCAAGGGACAUAGUUUGUAGAUCACAUCCUUUUACCAUAUUCCUACAAUAAAUUUUAAAAAUUAA